CCUACGGGUGGCUGCAGUGGGGAAUAUUGGGCAAUGGGCGCAAGCCUGACCCAGCAACGCCGCGUGAAGGAAGAAGGCUUUCGGGUUGUAAACUUCUUUUCUGAGGGACGAAGAAAGUGACGGUACCUCAGGAAUAAGCCACGGCUAACUACGUGCCAGCAGCCGCGGUAAUACGUAGGUGGCAAGCGUUAUCCGGAUUUAUUGGGUGUAAAGGGCGUGUAGGCGGGAAAGCAAGUCCGAUGUGAAAACUCAGGGCUCAACCCUGGGACUGUAUUUGAAACUGUUUUUCUUGAGUGUUGGGGAGGUAAUCGGAAUUCCGGGUGUAGGGGUGAAAUGCGUAGAUAUAAGGAGGAACACGAGUGGCGAAGGCGGAUUGCUGGACAGUAACUGACGCUGAGGCGCGAAGGCGUGGGGAGCAAACAGGAUUAGAUACCCUUGUAGUC
Molecule: ribosomal RNA, 443 nt
Filed under: uncultured bacterium
Lineage: Bacteria
Description: partial 16S ribosomal RNA
Rfam family: Bacterial small subunit ribosomal RNA
Source: RNAcentral